AGUGAACGCUGGCGGUAGGCCUAACACAUGCAAGUCGAACGGCAGCACAGUAAGAGCUUGCUCUUACGGGUGGCGAGUGGCGGACGGGUGAGGAAUACAUCGGAAUCUACUUUUUCGUGGGGGAUAACGUAGGGAAACUUACGCUAAUACCGCAUACGACCUACGGGUGAAAGCAGGGGAUCUUCGGACCUUGCGCGAUUGAAUGAGCCGAUGUCGGAUUAGCUAGUUGGCGGGGUAAAGGCCCACCAAGGCGACGAUCCGUAGCUGGUCUGAGAGGAUGGUCAGGCACAGUGGAACUGAGAAACGGUCCAGACUCCUACGGGAGGCAGCAGUGGGGAAUAGUCGACAAUGGGCGCAAGCCUGAUCCAGCCAUACCGCGUGGGUGAAGAAGACCUUCGGGUUGUAAAGCCCUUUUGUUGGGAAAGAAAAGCAGCAGGUUAAAACCCCGCUGUUCUGACGGUACCCAAAGAAAAAGCACCGGCUAACUACGUG
Molecule: ribosomal RNA, 492 nt
Filed under: uncultured bacterium
Lineage: Bacteria
Description: partial 16S ribosomal RNA
Rfam family: Bacterial small subunit ribosomal RNA
Source: RNAcentral